UUAUAUUUGAGAGUUUGAUCCUGGCUCAGGAUGAACGCUGGCGGCGUGCCUAACACAUGCAAGUCGAGCGAUCUCUUCGGAGAGAGCGGCGGACGGGUGAGUAACGCGUGGGUAACCUGCCCUGUACACACGGAUAACAUACCGAAAGGUAUACUAAUACGGGAUAACAUACGAAAGUCGCAUGGCUUUUGUAUCAAAGCUCCGGCGGUACAGGAUGGACCCGCGUCUGAUUAGCUAGUUGGUAAGGUAAUGGCUUACCAAGGCAACGAUCAGUAGCCGACCUGAGAGGGUGAUCGGCCACACUGGAACUGAGACACGGUCCAGACUCCU
This 330-nucleotide ribosomal RNA is filed under the name Paraclostridium benzoelyticum. RNAcentral's name for it is "bacterial SSU rRNA". It matches the Rfam family "Bacterial small subunit ribosomal RNA", at positions 1 to 340 of the family's 1533-position model. The record is from RNAcentral. Lineage: Bacteria; Bacillati; Bacillota; Clostridia; Peptostreptococcales; Peptostreptococcaceae.